UUCUUAUCAGCAGGGUGAAACAGAAUGCCAGCUAUCUUCGUCAAACUGAAAAGCCUCCCUCCCAUGCCUAGGGAGGACUUACAAGCAGCCUAGAAGAUUGUGUCAAAUCUUCAGGUCUGGAAAUGAGUUCAUAGCUAUUGCUCCAGCACCGUGCCUGCUUCUAUUCUCCCUGCCAUGAUAGCCAUAGACUCCUAGCCCUCUGAGGCUGUAAGCCCCAAAUGAACCC
Mus musculus (house mouse) is the source of this 226-nucleotide long non-coding RNA. RefSeq annotates it as predicted gene, 54166. The transcript is spliced from 3 exons. The record is from RefSeq and is a predicted model, not a curated record. Lineage: Eukaryota; Metazoa; Chordata; Mammalia; Rodentia; Muridae.